UUUCGUAGUUUAAUUCUACAACCAA
Molecule: ribosomal RNA, 25 nt
Filed under: Eimeria cf. ictidea JRB-2016
Lineage: Eukaryota; Apicomplexa; Conoidasida; Eucoccidiorida; Eimeriidae
Description: large subunit ribosomal RNA
Source: RNAcentral